RNAcentral lists this ribosomal RNA (597 nucleotides) under uncultured bacterium. RNAcentral describes it as "bacterial SSU rRNA". It matches the Rfam family "Bacterial small subunit ribosomal RNA", at positions 35 to 604 of the family's 1533-position model. The record is from RNAcentral.
GCUGGCGGCGUGCCUCAUACAUGCAAGUCGUGCGAGAAAGUUCCUGCUUGCAGGAGCGAGUAAAGCGGCGAACGGGUGCGUAACACGUGAGUAAUCUGCCCUUCAGCGGGGGAUAAGCCUUCGAAAGGGGGUCUAAUACCGCAUAACAUUAUUAGAUGACAUCAUCAUAUAAUCAAAGAUGGCCUCUACUUGUAAGCUAUCACUGAGGGAUGAGCUCGCGCUCCAUUAGCCUGUUGGUGGGGUAACGGCCUACCAAAGCUACGAUGGAUAGCCGGCCUGAGAGGGUGAACGGCCACACUGGGACUGAGAUACGGCCCAGACUCCUACGGGAGGCAGCAGUAGGGAAUAUUGCGCAAUGGACGAAAGUCUGACGCAGCAACGCCGCGUGCGGGAUGAAGCUCUUUGGAGCGUAAACCGCUGUCAGGAGGGACGAACGGUUAUGAUUAUAAUACGAUCAUAAUUUGACGGUACCUCCAAAGGAAGCUCCGGCUAACUCCGUGCCAGCAGCCGCGGUAAUACGGGGGGAGCAAGCGUUGUUCGGAAUUACUGGGCGUAAAGGGUGCGCAGGCGGGAAAGUAGGUUGGAUGUGAAAACCUC